RNAcentral lists this ribosomal RNA (484 nucleotides) under uncultured bacterium. Its description in RNAcentral is "partial 16S ribosomal RNA". It matches the Rfam family "Bacterial small subunit ribosomal RNA", at positions 30 to 507 of the family's 1533-position model. The record is from RNAcentral.
AUUGAACGCUGGCGGCAGGCCUAACACAUGCAAGUCGAGCGGAUGAAGGGAGCUUGCUCCUGGAUUCAGCGGCGGACGGGUGAGUAAUGCCUAGGAAUCUGCCUGGUAGUGGGGGAUAACGUCCGGAAACGGGCGCUAAUACCGCAUACGUCCUGAGGGAGAAAGUGGGGGAUCUUCGGACCUCACGCUAUCAGAUGAGCCUAGGUCGGAUUAGCUAGUUGGUGGGGUAAAGGCCUACCAAGGCGACGAUCCGUAACUGGUCUGAGAGGAUGAUCAGUCACACUGGAACUGAGACACGGUCCAGACUCCUACGGGAGGCAGCAGUGGGGAAUCUUGGACAAUGGGCGAAAGCCUGAUCCAGCCAUGCCGCGUGUGUGAAGAAGGUCUUCGGAUUGUAAAGCACUUUAAGUUGGGAGGAAGGGCAGUAAGUUAAUACCUUGCUGUUUUGACGUUACCAACAGAGUAAGCACCGGCUAACUUCGUG